This 497-nucleotide ribosomal RNA is filed under the name uncultured bacterium. RNAcentral's name for it is "partial 16S ribosomal RNA". It matches the Rfam family "Bacterial small subunit ribosomal RNA", at positions 28 to 507 of the family's 1533-position model. The record is from RNAcentral.
GACGAACGCUGGCGGCGUGCCUAAUACAUGCAAGUAGAACGCUGAAGAGAGGAGCUUGCUCUUCUUGGAUGAGUUGCGAACGGGUGAGUAACGCGUAGGUAACCUGCCUUGUAGCGGGGGAUAACUAUUGGAAACGAUAGCUAAUACCGCAUAACAAUGGAUGACACAUGUCAUUUAUUUGAAAGGGGCAAUUGCCCCACUACAAGAUGGACCUGCGUUGUAUUAGCUAGUAGGUGAGGUAAUGGCUCACCUAGGCGACGAUACAUAGCCGACCUGAGAGGGUGAUCGGCCACACUGGGACUGAGACACGGUCCAGACUCCUACGGGAGGCAGCAGUAGGGAAUCUUCGGCAAUGGGGGCAACCCUGACCGAGCAACGCCGCGUGAGUGAAGAAGGUUUUCGGAUCGUAAAGCUCUGUUGUAAGUCAAGAACGGGUGUGAGAGUGGAAAGUUCACACUGUGACGGUAGCUUACCAGAAAGGGACGGCUAACUACGUG